This 2755-nucleotide long non-coding RNA is filed under the name Olea europaea (common olive). RNAcentral describes it as "long non-coding RNA (OEUR_LNC009135)". The record is from RNAcentral. Lineage: Eukaryota; Viridiplantae; Streptophyta; Magnoliopsida; Lamiales; Oleaceae.
AAGUCGAAGUUUUUAUCGUACAUUCUCUAAAAUUUGUAGCCGUUCUUUUUUAUUUUUUCAUUUUCGACCAUGUUACAUAGAUGUAAUAUUAAAGUGGCAAAACGUGACAAAUUUUGAAAAGGCGAAAGUGGAGUCUUCCUUUCAGCAAAAACUUCAGCACGUGAUCACGUCAUUUUUUCACUGUCCUUCUAAUCAACUAGCUCAUUGAUGGGCUCCUAAGGAGGGAUAGCCAUUAAUAUCUUAUCCGAAACUAUGAAUUUGUCUAUAAAUUUUCUUCAUCUUCUGUUAAAUAGACCACUAUUAGUUGAGAUUUCUCUGUAGAGAAACAUGAAUUUCCUCUACUUGACGGUCGGCAUUCUGGCGAUCCUAGGCGAAACUGUCAAAACUGUCGAAUGUUUUAGCAACGCAAAGUGCAAUGGUUCCACGAUUGGUGACUGCAUUCCGAUAAAUGAGGAGUUUAUGAUGGAAUCAGAAAUAAGCAGAAGGAUUUUGGUUCAACCAGACAAACAAGUCAUUAAAUUCUCUAACAACAACAAGAAGCCUUUCUGCGGUAAUCCUUUAUAUAAUAAUUGUAUUGGAGCUCAGAACAAACAAUACAACAGACGCCCUUGUACCACGAAUAAUUUCUGCGCUGGGCGUGGACAUUGAUUGAGGAUCAACCAAUUAUGGCGAGCAUGUACGGCUUUGCUUCUUCUACAAAAGAAAGUGGCUUAUCUUUUACUCUUAAGCUAAGCCAAACAUGAUCAGUGUUCCCGUUUGUUGUCCUUUAUAAAUGUAUGUAUUAUGCGAAUAAUUAAUGUCAUGUGUACGUAUUUUGUUUGUUGCUUAAUUACAUGUAUUGUAUUAAUCAGCUUGUUCACUCCAAAUUAAAUUAAUAAAAGAUUUCCUUCCUUCCUAAAGACAAGUUUGAUUUCCUUUUUUGCCUAUCUCAAAUUAAGACCACCUUCUUUAUUGAAAAUAUAAAUAUUUCUUUGUUAACUGCAUACAAUUAAGGAUUUUUUGGCCAAUAUAAUGUUUUGCAAUGUUAUUGUUUAGUUUCUUUUCCACAUUAAUAUAUUUCAAGUGAAAGACGACCUCCGUUUGAUAACUAUUACUUCAAAACUUUUUAUUCUACAUGUUCAUUUCAACAACAUAAAAUAUUUUACACGUAAAUUCAAAUUUAUUUUUUUUAACCACAUAUUCUUUACAGCUUCACUAUUCUAAACCCCCUUUUUUGGGGGGNNNNNNNNNNNNNNNNNNNNNNNNNNNAAAUAAUGACCAUGGGCCAUACUAGGAAAGUAUAGUAUUCCAAAACUUCAAUUUCAACAUCAUAAAUUUUUUUUUUAUUUUAAAAAAAAAAAAAAAAUUCAAAUACAAAAAGUGGACCCCACACCAAACAGUGGCUAUUCUGUCUCUUAGGUGGAAUUCAUCUGCACCAACAGAACCAAAUAUUAAUUAACAAAACAUAACCUGGUGAUUAGAGAUAUUUAAAUAAAAUGAAACAGAAAAAGAAAUUUUCUUUGUACCUUUGGUCCUUAACCUAUUCCCUCAAUAGAAAGUUGGUUUCUAACUUUUGAAAGGAUCAAGUUGAUUACACAAGUUACAUUAUAGUUGCACAUGAAUGUCUUUGGCGACAGAAAGAGUCUAGACCGUAUUUGGUUCAGCCCAAAAUUUUUUAUUAUAAUCUAAGUCAAAAUUAAUUAAAAACCUAUUUAAUGAGAUUCACAGAUUUAAAAAACACAUUUCAUCAACUCUUAUCAAAAUCCAUGAGAAUGUAAUUUUCUCUAAACCAAACAAGGGCAAGACCUUCAUUAAAUUGUCAAGUGAUUCUCGUAAACUUAUAUCAUAGUUGGAAUUUCUAAAUACUAAUCCAAGCCAUGAAUUUAAAUUUAAAAUGAAAAAUACGAGGACAACUUAACGAUUCAACACAUAUUCAGUAACUUUUACUAAUUAGAGACUGACUGAUUAUGCAACAAAUAUAACGAGAAUUGUGAGGAUUUACUUUCUAUAUUUUAAAAGAUAGAGACUGAGAGACUAAUUUUCUACUAAAAUACUAUUUUUAAAAGCAUGUGAUCAUGUCCUUCUAAUCAGGCAGCUCAUUUAUGGGCUCCUAUCCAUCAUUAUGAACCCCUGUUUGGCCCUAUUAUAAAGUGGAAUAAUGGGGCAAACAGGCACUAUGAAUUUAUCUAUAAAUUAUCUUCAGUAUUAGUUGAGAUUUCUCUGAAGAGAGACAUGAAUUUCCUUUACUUUACAGUGGGCAUUCUUGCGAUCCUCGGCGAAACGAUUGAAUGUUUUAGCGCCACCAAGUGCAAUGGCUCCACGAUCGGAGAUUGCAUUCCGGUAAAUGAGGAGUUUCUGAUGGAGUCAGAAAUAAGCAGAAGGAUUUUGGCUCAACCAGAUCCGUCGAUCAGUUAUGAAACUUUUAAGCCGGCGAAGCCCUUCUGCAAGAGAGAUGCAUACGGUAGUUGUAUUGGAGAUCCGAACACAAAUUUCAAUAAUCGCCCUUGUAACUACAAUAAUCUCUGUGGUAGGACUGGAACUUGAUUAAGGAUCAAUCAAUUGUGAGCACAUACAGCUUUGCUUCUUCUGGAAAAUGGCUUAUUUUUCUUUUACUUUUAAGCUAAGCCAAACAUGUUGUCCUUUAUGAAUGUAUGUAUUAGGCCAAUAAUUAAUUUUGUGUGUUGCAUAAUUACAUGUAUUAUAUUAAUCAGCUUGUUCACUCCAAAUUAAUUUAUAAUAUUUGGAAAAGGAAAUACCCCCCCCCCCACCCCCCCCC